UAGGGAAUAUUGGACAAUGGGGGCAACCCUGAUCCAGCCAUGCCGCGUGAGUGAAGAAGGCCCUCGGGUUGUAAAGCUCUUUUGUCCGGAAAGAAAAGCUUCGGGUUAAUACCCCGGGGUUCUGACGGUACCGGAAGAAUAAGCACCGGCUAACUUCGUGCCAGCAGCCGCGGUAAUACGAAGGGUGCAAGCGUUACUCGGAAUUACUGGGCGUAAAGCGUGCGUAGGUGGUUGUUUAAGUCUGAUGUGAAAGCCCUGGGCUCAACCUGGGAAUGGCAUUGGAAACUGGGCAGCUAGAGUGCGGUAGAGGGUAGUGGAAUUCCCGGUGUAGCAGUGAAAUGCGUAGAGAUCGGGAGGAACAUCUGUGGCGAAGGCGACUGCCUGGACCAGCACUGACACUGAGGCACGAAAGCGUGG
RNAcentral lists this ribosomal RNA (417 nucleotides) under uncultured bacterium. RNAcentral describes it as "bacterial SSU rRNA". It matches the Rfam family "Bacterial small subunit ribosomal RNA", at positions 355 to 764 of the family's 1533-position model. The record is from RNAcentral.